RNAcentral lists this ribosomal RNA (464 nucleotides) under uncultured bacterium. RNAcentral's name for it is "bacterial SSU rRNA". It matches the Rfam family "Bacterial small subunit ribosomal RNA", at positions 29 to 506 of the family's 1533-position model. The record is from RNAcentral.
AUGAACGCUGGCGGCGUGCCUAAUACAUGCAAGUCGAACGCUCCAUUUCAUUUCGGUGGGAUGGAGAGUGGCGCACGGGUGAGUAACACGUAGCUGACCUGCCCUUCAGAGGGGGACAACUGCUGGAAACGGCAGCUAAUACCCCGUACGCUCGCGAGGACCAGAAGACUCGUGAGGAAAGCCGCAAGGUGCUGAAGGAGGGGGCUGCGACCCAUCAGCUAGUUGGUAGGGUAACGGCCUACCAAGGCGAGGACGGGUAGGGGGCCUGAGAGGGUGACCCCCCACACUGGGACUGAGACACGGCCCAGACUCCUACGGGAGGCAGCAGUAAGGGAUAUUGCGACAAUGGACGAAAGUCUGACGCAGCAACGCCGCGUGCGGGAUGACGGCCUUCGGGUUGUAAACCGCUUUUCGGGGGGAAGAGGAAGGACGGUACCCCCGGAAUAAGUCUCGGCUAACUACGU